Molecule: ribosomal RNA, 858 nt
Filed under: Triticum aestivum (bread wheat)
Lineage: Eukaryota; Viridiplantae; Streptophyta; Magnoliopsida; Poales; Poaceae
Description: partial small subunit ribosomal RNA
Source: RNAcentral
AUGUACCACUAUAGCUACAAACUAACCACCAAACUGCGCAUGCCAGAAAAAACACCCACCUUAUCUGUUCGGGCAUCAACUCCCCUCUCUCCCCGUGCCUCUCCGUCCACUCCCCACGACCACCACCUCCUACCCCGCCGCCGCACAACCUCCACCUCCCACCCCGACACCACACGAUCUCCUUCCCCACUCCUCCCCGCCUCCUCCUCCUCCUCCCGGUGGGCGCUGCCCCGCCUCCUCCUCCUCCCGGCCGGCGCCGCCCCGCCUCCUCCUCCUCCCGUCCGGAGCCGCCCUGCCUCCUCCUCCUGCUGUCCGGAGCCGCCCUGCCUCCUACUCCUCCCGUCCGACGCCGACCUGCAGCGUCGCCCAGCGACGGCCCUGGCCCUGACCUGCUACAGCCAUGGACACUACACUGCAUGCGCUCGCUGGUGUCAACGACCCCUGCCCCUCCGGGCGCCGCCGCCCGACCCCAUCCACGGCCUCGGUCGCACCUGCCCGGCGUCGGAUCCAUGCCUCAACGGGUCAGACACUUCACAACGCCAGGCAUUGACCUCGGCACAAAGCAGAUCGAGGGUAGAAAAGCAGCGCGGGGGUUCCCCCAUUCCUCCUCUCCAGCAGGCCAUCCUCUCCGGCGACGACACCAAUAGGGAGAGUCUCUUAUCUCCUGUGGAGUUCGGCUUCAGGUGCUGUGUAGGUCAGUCUGGCGAUCAUGCAGUAUGGCUUGCUGUUCGACUGCUUCCACAUAGUCAGGGCGCCAUGUCACUUUGCUGGAGGAGGCGCAUCACGGGGCUUGCAGUUCUCUACAGCUUGUUGUGCAGCUAUUCACGGAGAAUGAAGCAGUGCCAUGUCAUGAUCUGA